AGAAUUCUGAACAAGAACAUCAACUGCAGCAAGAUAUGGGGCUACCGUCAGUGUCUUAUUAACAAAAUGAACAUAAUUCUGGAUCUUCUUUGAUAUGACAAAGUUCCUAAGCUCUGUCUCAAAUUUACUAUGACUAGUCAUGUCACUCCCUACAACAACAGCAUGAAUUGAUGGUAAUUGUAACUUCCGUUCUUGAAUAAUCUGCAAGCUCUCAUAAAACGACCGUAAAAAUAAGUCUUGACCCUUCCCACGAGUAACACUAUUUAUGAGGGAGAACAGUAUAUCUUCGUUUCGAACUCCAAGAGAUUCACGAACAUGUUCCCUCAAAAUCCUUUUUGCCACACUAUCUUCAGCAAUUUCCAUUAGCUCAUUGCUGUUGCCAAGAUGAACGACAUGGGUUUUGGGCAUUUUGAUCCUUAGCCGUUCCUGUGUCCUAUUCUUCCAGUAUUCAGCUGUUACAUGUGAAUCAAUCAUUGCACCAGCAACAUAUGGAAGGUGUUUCACAUAAUCUAGACUGAAGUAAUGACCGCGCAUUUCAUGGAUCCACCACAAAACUUUGGGAAGGACUUCAGAAACGUGUUCCUUAAGAACAGCAUCCAACCAUUUCCCAGCAACGGCAGUGUUUAAAACAACCAAGUCAGCUUUCAAAGCAGUAUCUAUUGCCUCCUGGCCCUUCGCAGAGACAACCUGAACUCCUCGGUGUAACAUUUUGUGCUCCAAACUGUAUACAAUGUUAUUUGUUUCAGAUGGCCUUUGAUUUGUGAUCCAACAGACUUCAGCACCAACACCUCUCAACAAAAAUGCCAG
This 807-nucleotide unclassified non-coding RNA is filed under the name Hevea brasiliensis (rubber tree). The record is from RNAcentral. Lineage: Eukaryota; Viridiplantae; Streptophyta; Magnoliopsida; Malpighiales; Euphorbiaceae.